This 71-nucleotide transfer RNA is filed under the name Dipodomys ordii (Ord's kangaroo rat). Lineage: Eukaryota; Metazoa; Chordata; Mammalia; Rodentia; Heteromyidae. The record is from Rfam by way of RNAcentral.
GGUGGCUCAGUGGUAGAGCGCUUGCCUAGCAUGCAUGAGGCCCUGGGUUCGGGCUCGAUUCCUCAGCACCA